GUGAAAGUUAUGGAACAAAUGGAAACACUUCCUAGAAAGAUGCUACAGCUUGUACUUGCGAAAGCUUUGAUGAAUUAAUGUGUAGUGAUAUCCUUACUCUUAUUAGACCUGAGGUACCUGUGAGAAGGGCUUUUGCUACCUAAGGACUGCACCUACGCUGGAGUACUACCUGAUGUGGGAUUGGGAAUGUGCUACUGGAAUACAGCCUGCAGCUGCUCAGAGACUGUCUGACAACGGUCAGCUGAUGUUUUUUGGACUGAUGCAGCACUGAUGACGGGAAUGUGAUCUGUGCUCUAGGUUUGGAGGGGAUGCUCCUGGGGGCUGAUAUUUCAUAUCACCAGCUUGCCAUGCCCGUCUAUGACAGGGAGAACAUUUUAGUCGCUCGCCUUGUUGGGUUGCAAACCUUUAUGAACACCGCAACGAAUAUCCCCGGUAAGUGGAAGAUUAAUUUCUGUACCACCUGGCAGCAAGCUGUGGAUUAGGCUGCUGUCCCUCGUGUGGGUUUAAUGUUGGAGGAAUGGGGCACUGGAGCACCCAGACAAUCAGCCUUUUGUUUAAACAAUGAGCUUCUCGGUCUCGUUAGCCAGCGCUCUUAAAUUUUCAUUUUAUUCUGGAAUGCAGGCUUGUGUGAUGUGGAGAAUUGCUUCUGCACAGAGAGACUGCAAACCUGUUCAAUUAAAGGAAAUGCUCAGAUCCAGCUGUUGGAGUCCCAUGAAUGCCAGGACUCCUCACAGGGUAAGACCAGCGCACUCUGCCCUUGGAACAGAUACGACGAUUUGCGCCCUAAUUCUCCUGAAAAAAAGAGUCUUUGUUGGGAGAGGACGACUGGGGAAAGGAGGAGGAAUGCAGAGCGUGUGCAGAAAAUGCCCAGUGAGACCAAGUUUUCUGCAGAUAACAGAGGGGGCUCUAUAGCAUGAGCCUGGUAACGAGGCACCACCAGAAGCACGUACGGUACAAGCUCCUGUUACAGCCAUAGAAUUGUCUUGUAAGUUUGUAAAUGCUUUCCUCUCAUGAAAAAACAUAUGUUGUGGAGUAACUUACCCUGUGCUUUCACUUCCAAGGAGCAGGCCAACAAGCACAGCCCUGGUGUGUGACCAUACACUGCACUAUUUUUGCCUGGGCAUUUGGUUAUCUUAGUUUUGGUGACAAGUUUCUGCACGCUUUUGUAGGUGGCAGAGGUGUUGGGUGUUGGAUGGUCACCUAGAUAUGCCAGAUGUUUUUGUACAGGUCUUUUUAUAAAAGCCCUUUUAUAUCUUUUAUGUAUAGCUACACAUACCAAUAGACAUUUUUAUAUAUUUUUAUAUAUAUAUAUAUAAUUUAUCUAAAUAUUUAAUAUUAUAUAUAUUUUUGCAUAUAUAUAAAGGGCUGUAGCUGUUUCAGUAGGUGCUGAAUACACUUCAGCAACAAAUGCACAGCAGCUGACUUAAUGCUCAUGUCUCAACCAAGAGCUGAGUUCCCAAGGCUGAGGCAGGGGAAGGAAGACAUUGGAAUGGGAUGAACCACAGGAAGAAAUUAUGAGCUUCACCUGAGUGGCAGAAGCCAUCUUCCUACAAGCACCUGGAAUCCUCACCCCAAAGCAGGGGCUGGUAACCUCUUGUCUGACUUCAGGAACCAUCGUGUCUCUGGAAAUGCAGUUUUCCCCACUCCUGCUGUUGUUCCUCCCUCAAUCUCACUUUGUUGACUGUUUAAAAAUUGUGGCAUGAGGGCUUUAAAAAGAUACUAGUCACAGUUUCGGCUGCUAAGGUGGAAAUGGAUUUCUGACUGGCCCUCAGUGGCAGGGAGGCUGCUGCUGGCCCCUAGGCUGCACUCGUGCCUUUUGUCACACAGGCUAAAACAGAAAAGGUUGCAUUUUCAUUUACUAGCUGGGCCUGUGAGGUGCACAGGAUAACAAAAUCUCGAUUGUUAAUUAGCUGCCCCAAUUGUCUUUUUUAAGUCAAGUAUAUGUCCAUCUUCCCCCUUAUAUUAAUAUAUAUAUACAAAUAUGUACACAUAUGUAAAUAUAUAUGUACUUGUAUGGCUGGGUGUGUAUGUGUAUAAAUACACACACAUAUCUAUAGAUACAUCAUUUAUGUACGUGUUAAAAAAUAUAUAAAUGCCUGACUUUAUUGCCAAGUUGAGAAAGGGCUCUGGUGCUUUAAAUCAGUGCAGAAGAUGAAGCAGCUGUUGGGUCAAAUCUUUGCAGCUUUUCUAUUGUGUGAUUCUUGUUUCAGGCAGCAGCUGAGCCCACAGGCUCUGUGCAAGAAAUUUUGCUGAAGAAAUCCCCUCUGCACGUGGCCAGCAGCCUGAAUCAGCCUUUUCUGGUGGAUGGUGAAACAGUGGAAGACCUUUGAAGGGAAUUGCUGCCAUGGGGUUUGUCUGGCUGUGAGGUAUGUACAGCAUCCCUUGCCCCUGCUUCAUCUAUUUAGUGUUAAAGUGUGUUUUAUAGGCACAUUGCUAACAAGAGAUUGAAGGAGCUGCUUUGUAAUCAAAAAUAAAUAAUUCUAACUGUCUGCAUGAUAUGAUCUAUAUGUGGUUUUCUUUCAGGUAAGUUAAGAUGCAAAACCAGAGACAGUUGUGGUCCAGCUGAUGAGGUGGUAUAUAAAUCAAGAGUUGGGACACUAAGGUGAGUGGCAGAAAACUAACACUUAAUACCUCCCUGCACUGUUCCUCUGUGUUUGGGGCAACUGAAAAUGGGGUAAACAGUAAAAAACAGCUCCAGAUCCCAAGCUUUACUGAGUUUUUGUCUCCCUGACUAGUGUAGAGGCUUGCCACAUAUCUCCUACAGCAGGCUGGGAGACUGACCCUUCCUUAGAGCUAUAAACUCAGAUUGUUGCAAUGAGAAAUGUCUCUAACUAUUAUUAACCUUGUUUUGGAUUUAGGUUUUUUGCAGAUGUGCUUCCCUGAGGAGGAAGAGGGGAUGAUUUGGCUCCAGGAGCUGCAGUUCUGUCCCACCCCAUGUACCUGUUCCUGCAACCUCAGCAUCUCUCCUGCUGCUGUGGGGGUGCUUCCCUGAGAUCAGUCUGCCAGCUUGCACCUUCACCUGCAGGGCUGUGGCUCCUGUAGCCACAGAGACCUCCUCCUGUGUGCAGGGAGAGUGUUAGGCCUCCCUUGACAGAGCCAGGGCCGUGCUGAGAGGGGGAGUGGGACACAGAAAACCCUUCCAGCCUGGAGGAACCAGCAGCACUGCAGGCAGAAUCCUGUUGCACAGCAGCCAGACUGGCUGGCACCCCAUCAGGGCACUUCAUCCCCAGACAGCUGCAGCUGGCCGUGACAACAGCCAUGCUGGGCAGGGCUGGAGCAGGCUGCAGGGCAGCUAUGGGGGGAAUGCAGUGGCACCCAGGGGUGCUGCUUCCUGCACUGCACAAACCACACGUGCUGUACGCGUGAGACACAAACCCCUCGUGCCUGCCCCCAGUGCGCACCACGCUGGAGACACAAAACACACAGCCCUCCUCUCCUGAAACACACACCACCCCUGCUGCACAGCACUUCCACUCUGCUCACGUGGCAAGCAAAGUAGGGGUGUGCUGCAGACAUGGGGUACAAGCCACAUCAGCCAGCCUCAGGGGGCAGGGUCUGGGUGCUACUCCUGCUUUGCCAGUUCAGGUUUCCCAGCCCCUUCCUUUCUUGCACUGCUGGGAUUGACAGUAAGCAAAAGCAGAGCUCAGCACAUCCCCCCUGGGUAGGACAGCAGAGAAAGCAGCAUUCACCAUCUCCAUUCUUUCCUCUGCCCAUCACCUUUAACCAAACAACAUCCAUGAGAUUUGUCUUAGACCAUCUCAGCCUUCCCAAAGCACUUGUCCUGUUGACCCUCAAUAAUUUCAGGAUGCAUUCAAGUCUUGCUUGAGGCAACGCUGUGCCUGCUGGUUCACACUAAGCCAUGCACAGUGCUAAAGACACAGCUGGGUAGCUCAGGAGCAGAAGGCUGUUACAAGCUGGAGACUGACACUCAUUUCCCCCAAAUAUUUGAUAACAGUGGUUAAUUUCAAUGUCCUACCUGAGUCACUUGUUUGAAGCCAAGUAACCAAAACCAACAACAAAAAAAAAGCUUUUGUACCUUGGCACUAUGGUACAGCAACCAUCCCUCUGCAGUGUGGGCUUCAAGCUGGUUGACUUAAUUCAAAACUGUCUGGUCAAAGACAGUUUAUUUGCCAGGUAUAUGCACCCUUUUCCAAGUAAAACAUUCCAUCUCAGUAAGGUGGUUAACAGCCCACCCUUUCACCCUUAGGAGAAGCAGAUGCCGACUCCAGCACUCCACAGCAGCAAGUUAGAGGCAGUCCCCAAACAACUCUCUGCCUGUGCUGUGGCACAGCAGAUGCUCAGCUAGGGAAGAGCCAGCCUGCUCCCCUGUGUAACCCAACUCCCCCUGCCACAGCCUGGGUGUUUCAGCUGUGAGGGAGCCUUAGCAGGAAUGCUGCAGGACAGUGCUCCUGCCUGCUGAGCAUAGCUUUGAUGGUCACACAUCUUCCUUCUAGCUGGAGGGACUUGCAUGCCCAGCAGGCAGAGACCUGCCUUUCUCACAUAACUGCUCCUGGUGCUGUUAAUAAACCAAGCCUGGAGCAAGAGCUGUAUUUUGAUUGAUCCUGGACAGAGUGACUCACCAGGUUUGCUGUGGUGGAAGCAGCGUCUUAAAAAAAUGAAAACAAUCAACAACAACAACACCACAAACAAACAACAACAAAAUGCUAUUAAGCACAAUAAGCUGUUGCAUGUUCUGCCUCAGGGUGCAGGCCUGUGCUGGGGCUGAGAAGAGCAGGACAUACUGGUUUUUUGGGGAUUUUUAAAUUGUUUGUUUAUGUAUUGACUCACAAGCAGGUGAGGGCACUCUCCUCCCCUCUGGAAUCCUUCAGCAUCUGAGUGUCACUUGCUCUGUUCACCAAGAGCCACCCACCAAGAUCCACUCUCAGCUUCAGGCCACCAGCAGCACGUCCUUGGAGUUCACUGGGGAAAAAACAACUUUUUCUGAAGAGUUUAUGAAAUUUGGAAGCAGUGAACAGUUCAGAAUUCACACAAAAGGAGUGCAUAUCUUCAGUAAAACCAAAGUAUGAAAAUUACCUCCACCAAUACCCUUCUGAGGUACCAAUUUCAUGAGUAUUAACAACAGAGUGGCACUAGGUGGUUUCUCCCAGGCCUUGUCAAAGGGAAAAGACUCUGGGGAUCCUUUGUUAUUUCUGAUAAAGGUUUUAAAUUACACAUCUAGCUCCUAUUUUAGAAGGGAUUUUGACACCAAUGAGAAGAAUGCUGUUGGUGGUAGGGGUGAGGGGGACCUGCAUGCCUUGCUGGUGAAGGGUCACACAAUGUGUGACAGGUAACACAAUGUGUGCUGGUGCCUCCUCCCAUCCUGAGACUCAGGCAAAUCCACUGCAACCUGCUGGACAUCACAGGAAGCCUCACAAGUAUGGACACAAACCAAAAUCUGGUGCAAUCACAUCAAACAGUAAGUUCUCCAAAAAAAAAAAAAAAA
Molecule: long non-coding RNA, 5443 nt
Organism: Passer montanus (Eurasian tree sparrow)
Lineage: Eukaryota; Metazoa; Chordata; Aves; Passeriformes; Passeridae
Exons: 4
Source: RefSeq, a predicted model, not a curated record